UACGUAGGUGGCAAGCGUUGUCCGGAUUUACUGGGCGUAAAGAGCGCGCAGGCGGUCGUUCAAGUCGCGUGUGAAAGCCCCCGGCUCAACUGGGGAGGGUCACGCGAUACUGAUCGACUCGAAGGCAGGAGAGGGAAGUGGAAUUCCCGGUGUAGUGGUGAAAUGCGUAGAUAUCAGGAGGAACACCGGUGGCGAAGGCGGUUCUCUGGGCCUUGCCUGACGCUGAGGAGCGAAAGCGUGGGGAGCAAACAGG
RNAcentral lists this ribosomal RNA (253 nucleotides) under uncultured bacterium. RNAcentral's name for it is "partial 16S ribosomal RNA". It matches the Rfam family "Bacterial small subunit ribosomal RNA", at positions 524 to 776 of the family's 1533-position model. The record is from RNAcentral.